AGCAGCCGCCACGGUAAUACAGAGGAUGCAAGCGUUAACCGGAAUUACUGGGCGUAAAGCGUCUGUAGGUGGCUUUUCAAGUCCGCCGUCAAAUCCCAGAGCUCAACCCUGGACAGGCGGUGGAAACUACCAAGCUGGAGUACGGUAGAGGCAGAGGGAAUUUCCGGUGGAGCGGUGAAAUGCGUAGAGAUCUGAAAGAACACCAACGGCGAAAGCACUCUGCUGGGCCGACACUGACACUGAGAGACGAAAGCUAGGGGAGCAAAUGGGAUUAGAUACCCCAGUAGUCCCUGUCUCUUAUAC
Molecule: ribosomal RNA, 303 nt
Filed under: uncultured bacterium
Lineage: Bacteria
Description: partial 16S ribosomal RNA
Rfam family: Bacterial small subunit ribosomal RNA
Source: RNAcentral